GACGAACGCUGGCGGCGUGCUUAACACAUGCCAGUCGAACGGAAAGUUUCUGGUUUUGUGGGGUGCUCGAGUGGCGAACGGGUGAGUAACAAGUGAGUAAACUGCCCUUGACUUUGGGAUAACUUCAGGAAACUGGGGCUAACUACGGAUAGGAGAUCCUACUGCAUGGUGGGGGUUGGAAUGUUUCGGCGGUUGGGGAUGGACGGGAGGCUUAUCAGCUUGUUGGUCGGGAAGUGGCGUACCAAAGCCGCGCCAGGUCGCCGGCCUGUGAGGGUGACCGGCGACAUUGCGACUGCGAGACGGACCAGACGCGUACGUUAGGCAGCGGUCGGAAAUAUUGCGGAAUGGGCGGAAGCCUGAGGCAGAAACGCCGGGUGCGUAAUGACGUCCUUCGGGUUGUGAACGGCUUUCGCCUGUGACGAAGCGUGAGUGACGGUAAUGAGUAAAGAAGCAACGGCUAACUACGUG
Molecule: ribosomal RNA, 468 nt
Filed under: uncultured bacterium
Lineage: Bacteria
Description: partial 16S ribosomal RNA
Rfam family: Bacterial small subunit ribosomal RNA
Source: RNAcentral